AGGUUAACCGUAUAGGGGAGCCGUAGGGAAACCGAGUCUUAACUGGGCGAAUGAGUUGCAGGGUAUAGACCCGAAACCCGGUGAUCUAUCCAUGGGCAGGUUGAAGGUUGGGUAACACUAACUGGAGGACCGAACCGACUAAUGUUGAAAAAUUAGCGGAUGACUUGUGGAUGGGGGUGAAAGGCCAAUCAAACCGGGAGAUAGCUGGUUCUCCCCGAAAGCUAUUUAGGUAGCGCCUCGUGAACUCAUCUUCGGGGGUAGAGCACUGUUUCGACUAGGGGGUCAUCCCGACUUACCAACUCGAUGCAAACUGCGAAUACCGAAGAAUGUUAUCACGGGAGACACACGGCGGGUGCUAACGUCCGUCGUGAAGAGGGAAACAACCCAGACCGCCAGCUAAGGUCCCAAAGUCAUGGUUAAGUGGGAAACGAAGUGGGAAGGCUCAGACAGCCAGGAUGUUGGCUUAGAAGCAGCCAUCAUUUAAAGAAAGCGUAAUAGCUCACUGGUCGAGUCGGCCCGCGCGGAAGAUGUAACGGGGCUAAACCAUGCACCGAAGCUGCGGCAGCGACACGUAGUGUUGUUGGGUAGGGGAGCGUUCUGUAAGCCUGCGAAGGUGUACUGUGAGGUAUGCUGGAGGUAUCAGAAGUGCGAAUGCUGACAUAAGUAACGAUAAUGCGGGUGAAAAACCCGCACGCCGGAAGACCAAGGGUUCCUGUCCAACGUUAAUCGGGGCAGGGUGAGUCGACCCCUAAGGCGAGGCUGAAAAGCGUAGUCGAUGGGAAACGGGUUAAUAUUCCCGUACUGGUGGUAACUGCGAUGGGGGAACGGAGAAGGCUAGGUUGUCCGGGCGACGGUCGUCCCGGUUCAAGCAGGUAGGCAGAGUGAUUAGGCAAAUCCGGUCACUUAAUGCUGAGAUGUGAUGACGAACCACUAAGGUGGUGAAGCAAUUGAUGCCCCGCUUCCAGGAAAAGCCUCUAAGCUUCAGGUUACCAACAAUCGUACCCCAAACCGACACAGGUGGUCAGGUAGAGAAUACUCAGGCGCUUGAGAGAACUCGGGUGAAGGAACUAGGCAAAAUGGUGCCGUAACUUCGGGAGAAGGCACGCUGGCGGUAGGUAAAGUCCCUCGCGGACGGCGCUGAAGCCAGUCGAAGAUACCAGCUGGCUGCAACUGUUUAUUAAAAACACAGCACUGUGCAAACACGAAAGUGGACGUAUACGGUGUGACGCCUGCCCGGUGCUGGAAGGUUAAUUGAUGGGGUUAGCGUAAGCGAAGCUCCUGAUCGAAGCCCCAGUAAACGGCGGCCGUAACUAUAACGGUCCUAAGGUAGCGAAAUUCCUUGUCGGGUAAGUUCCGACCUGCACGAAUGGCGUAAUGAUGGCCAGGCUGUCUCCACCCGAGACUCAGUGAAAUUGAACUCGCUGUGAAGAUGCAGUGUACCCGCGGCAAGACGGAAAGACCCCGUGAACCUUUACUAUAGCUUGACACUGAACAUUGAGCCUUGAUGUGUAGGAUAGGUGGGAGGCUUUGAAGUGUGGACGCCAGUCUGCAUGGAGCCAACCUUGAAAUACCACCCUUUAACGUUUGAUGUUCUAACCUAGGCCCAUAAACUGGGUCGGGGACCGUGUCUGGUGGGUAGUUUGACUGGGGCGGUCUCCUCCUAAAGAGUAACGGAGGAGCACGAAGGUUGGCUAAGCAUGGUCGGACAUCAUGCGGUUAGUGCAAAGGCAUAAGCCAGCUUGACUGCGAGAGUGACGGCUCGAGCAGGUACGAAAGUAGGUCUUAGUGAUCCGGUGGUUCUGAAUGGAAGGGCCAUCGCUCAACGGAUAAAAGGUACUCCGGGGAUAACAGGCUGAUACCGCCCAAGAGUUCAUAUCGACGGCGGUGUUUGGCACCUCGAUGUCGGCUCAUCACAUCCUGGGGCUGAAGUAGGUCCCAAGGGUAUGGCUGUUCGCCAUUUAAAGUGGUACGCGAGCUGGGUUUAGAACGUCGUGAGACAGUUCGGUCCCUAUCUGCCGUGGGCGUUGGAAGAUUGAGAGGGGUUGCUCCUAGUACGAGAGGACCGGAGUGAACGCACCACUGGUGUUCGGGUUGUCAUGCCAAUGGCAUUGCCCGGUAGCUAAGUGCGGAAGAGAUAACCGCUGAAAGCAUCUAAGCGGGAAACUUGCCUCGAGAUGAGUCUUCCCUGUCGCUUUAAGCGACCUAAAGGAACGUUUAAGACUAAGACGUUGAUAGGCUGGGUGUGUAAGCGUAGCGAUACGUUGAGCUAACCAGUACUAAUGAACCGUGAGGCUUAACCUG
Molecule: ribosomal RNA, 2301 nt
Filed under: Proteus mirabilis
Lineage: Bacteria; Pseudomonadati; Pseudomonadota; Gammaproteobacteria; Enterobacterales; Morganellaceae
Description: partial 23S ribosomal RNA
Rfam family: Bacterial large subunit ribosomal RNA
Source: RNAcentral